This 253-nucleotide ribosomal RNA is filed under the name uncultured bacterium. Its description in RNAcentral is "partial 16S ribosomal RNA". It matches the Rfam family "Bacterial small subunit ribosomal RNA", at positions 524 to 776 of the family's 1533-position model. The record is from RNAcentral.
UACAGAGGGGGCAAGCGUUAUUCGGAAUUAUUGGGCGUAAAGGGCGCGUAGGCGGCUUGGCAAGUGGAAGGUGAAAUCCCUCGGCUCAACUGAGGAACUGCCUUCCAGACUGCUUUGCUUGAGUCCGGGAGAGGUGAGUGGAAUUCCAGGUGUAGCGGUGAAAUGCGUAGAUAUCUGGAGGAACACCGGUGGCGAAGGCGGCAUCCUGGACCGACACUGACGCUGAGGCGCGAAAGCUAGGGUAGCAAACGGG